RNAcentral lists this ribosomal RNA (492 nucleotides) under uncultured bacterium. RNAcentral describes it as "partial 16S ribosomal RNA". It matches the Rfam family "Bacterial small subunit ribosomal RNA", at positions 28 to 507 of the family's 1533-position model. The record is from RNAcentral.
GAUGAACGCUAGCUACAGGCUUAACACAUGCAAGUCGAGGGGAAACGCCAUCGAAAGCUUGCUUUUGAUGGGCGUCGACCGGCGCACGGGUGAGUAACGCGUAUCCAACCUGCCCAUCACUUGGGAAUAACCUUGCGAAAGUAAGACUAAUACCCAAUGAUAUCCCACGAAGGCAUCGGAAUGGGAUUAAAGAUUUAUCGGUGAUGGAUGGGGAUGCGUCUGAUUAGCUUGUUGGCGGGGUAACGGCCCACCAAGGCAACGAUCAGUAGGGGUUCUGAGAGGAAGGUCCCCCACAUUGGAACUGAGACACGGUCCAAACUCCUACGGGAGGCAGCAGUGAGGAAUAUUGGUCAAUGGGCGAGAGCCUGAACCAGCCAAGUAGCGUGCAGGAAGGCGGCCCUAUGGGUUGUAAACUGCUUUUAUAAGGGAAUAAAGUGGGUCACGUGUGACUUUUUGCAUGUACCUUAUGAAUAAGGACCGGCUAAUUCCGUG